UACGGAGGGAGCUAGCGUUGUUCGGAAUUACUGGGCGUAAAGCGCACGUAGGCGGCUUUUCAAGUCAGGGGUGAAAUCCCGGGGCUCAACCUCGGAACUGCCUUUGAAACUGGAAGGCUUGAAUCUUGGAGAGGCGAGUGGAAUUCCGAGUGUAGAGGUGAAAUUCGUAGAUAUUCGGAAGAACACCAGUGGCGAAGGCGACUCGCUGGACAAGUAUUGACGCUGAGGUGCGAAAGCGUGGGGAGCGAACAGG
RNAcentral lists this ribosomal RNA (253 nucleotides) under uncultured bacterium. RNAcentral describes it as "partial 16S ribosomal RNA". It matches the Rfam family "Bacterial small subunit ribosomal RNA", at positions 524 to 776 of the family's 1533-position model. The record is from RNAcentral.